GCUUGCUCCAGGCGUCGAGCGGCGGACGGGUGAGUAAUGCAUAGGAAUCUGCCCGGUAGUGGGGGAUAACCUGGGGAUACUCAGGCUAAUACCGCAUACGUCCUACGCGAGAAAGCAGAGGAUCUUCGGACCUUGCGCUAUCGGAUGAGCCUAUGUCGGAUUAGCUUGUUGGUGAGGUAAUGGCUCACCAAGGCGACGAUCCGUAGCUGGUCUGAGAGGAUGAUCAGCCACAUCGGGACUGAGACACGGCUCGAACUCCUACGGGAGGCAGCAGUGUUGAAUAUUGGACAAUGGGCGAAAGCCUGAUCCAGCCAUGCCGCGUGUGUGAAGAAGGCUUUCGGGUUGUAAAGCACUUUCAGUGAGGAUGAAGGCCUUGGGGCUAAUACCCCCGAGGAAGGACAUCACUCACAGAAGAAGCACCGGCUAACUCCGUGCCAGCAGCCGCGGUAAUACGGAGGGUGCGAGCGUUAAUCGGAAUUACUGGGCGUAAAGCGCGCGUAGGCAGCGUGAUAAGCCGGUUGUGAAAGCCCCGCGCUCAACCUGGGAACGGCAUCCGGAACUGUCAGGCUAGAGUGCAGGAGAGGAAGGUAGAAUUCGCGGUGUAGCGGUGAAAUGCGUAGAGAUCGGGAGGAAUACCAGUGGCGAAAGGCGGCCUUCUGGACUGACACUGACGCUGAGUGCGAAAGCGUGGGUAGCAAACAGGAUUAGAUACCCUGGUAGUCCACGCCGUAAACGAUGUCGACUAGCCGUUGUGGUCCUUGAGACCUUUGUGGCGCAGUUAACGCGAUAAGUCGACCGCCUGGGGAGUACGGCCGCAAGGUUAAAACUCAAAUGAAUUGACGGGGGCCCGCACAAGCGGUGGAGCAUGUGGUUUAAUUCGAUGCAACGCGAAGAACCUUACCUACCCUUGACAUCGUGCGAACUCUCCAGAGAUGGAUUGGUGCCUUCGGGAACGCACAGACAGGUGCUGCAUGGCUGUCGUCAGCUCGUGUUGUGAGAUGUUGGGUUAAGUCCCGUAACGAGCGCAACCCUUGUCCCUAUUUGCCAGCGAUUCGGUCGGGAACUCUAGGGAGACUGCCGGUGACAAACCGGAGGAAGGUGAGGACGACGUCAAGUCAUCAUGGCCCUUACGGGUAGGGCUACACACGUGCUACAAUGGCCGGUACAAAGGGUUGCGAAGCCGCGAGGUGGAGCUAAUCCCGAUAAGCCGGUCUCAGUCCGGAUCGGAGUCUGCAACUCGACUCCGUGAAGUCGGAAUCGCUAGUAAUCGUGAAUCAGAAUGUCACGGUGAAUACGUUCUCGGGCCUUGUACACACCGCGCGUCACACCAUGGGAGUGGAC
This 1341-nucleotide ribosomal RNA is filed under the name Halomonas ventosae. Its description in RNAcentral is "bacterial SSU rRNA". It matches the Rfam family "Bacterial small subunit ribosomal RNA", at positions 78 to 1415 of the family's 1533-position model. Lineage: Bacteria; Pseudomonadati; Pseudomonadota; Gammaproteobacteria; Oceanospirillales; Halomonadaceae. The record is from RNAcentral.